CAGAAAAUAGUUUAUUAAAAAUAUUAAUUUUGGAGAUUAAAGAUAAAUUUUAUUUUUUUCUGA
Molecule: transfer RNA, 63 nt
Filed under: Tenebrionoidea sp. 5 KM-2017
Lineage: Eukaryota; Metazoa; Arthropoda; Insecta; Coleoptera
Description: tRNA-Pro
Source: RNAcentral